GACGAACGCUGGCGGCGUGCUUAACACAUGCAAGUCGAACGGAAAGGCCCUGCUUUUGUGGGGUGCUCGAGUGGCGAACGGGUGAGUAACACGUGAGUAACCUGCCCUUGACUUUGGGAUAACUUCAGGAAACUGGGGCUAAUACCGGAUAGGAGCUCCUGCUGCAUGGUGGGGGUUGGAAAGUUUCGGCGGGUGGGGAUGGACUCGCGGCUUAUCAGCUUGUUGGUGGGGUAGUGGCUUACCACGGCUUUGACGGGUAGCCGGCCUGGGCGGGUGACCGGCCACAUUGGGACGGGGAUGCGGCCCAGACUCCUACGCGACGCAGCGGUGCGGUAUAUUGCACAAUGGGCGGAACCCUGAUGCAGCAAAGCCGCGUGCGGGAUGACGUCCUUCGGGUUGUAAACCGCUUUCGCCUGUGACGAAGCGUGAGUGGCGGUAAUGGGUAAAGAAGCACCGGCUAACUACGUG
This 468-nucleotide ribosomal RNA is filed under the name uncultured bacterium. Its description in RNAcentral is "partial 16S ribosomal RNA". It matches the Rfam family "Bacterial small subunit ribosomal RNA", at positions 28 to 507 of the family's 1533-position model. The record is from RNAcentral.